This 228-nucleotide ribosomal RNA is filed under the name uncultured bacterium. RNAcentral's name for it is "partial 16S ribosomal RNA". It matches the Rfam family "Bacterial small subunit ribosomal RNA", at positions 103 to 334 of the family's 1533-position model. The record is from RNAcentral.
CGGGUGAGUAAUACAUCGGAACGUGUCUUCUAGUGGGGGAUAACUGCCCGAAAGGGCAGCUAAUACCGCAUGAGACCUGAGGGUGAAAGCGGGGGACCGCAAGACCUCGCGCUGGAAGAGCGGCCGAUGUCCGAUUAGCUAGUUGGUGAGGUAAAGGCUCACCAAGGCGACGAUCGGUAGCUGGUCUGAGAGGACGACCAGCCACACUGGGACUGAGACACGGCCCAG